AAAUUAAAAAUGAGUAGUAAAGAAAAGAAAAGUAAAUAAAAUAAAUGGAAACAAAAGUCAAAUAAUGACCUCAUAAUGAUGCAAUUAAAAUUACUAACCAAUAAAAAUAAGACAAACAUAUAUAAAAAGAUAAGAAGAAAAUAAAUAAAACAAAAUUGAGUUUCAUCUUCUUCCUUGGGUGUUUAGGCCGAACCACCAUGGGUAUAGAGAGCUCCUCCAUUUCUUCUUCUCAAGCUUAAUUCUCUCCAAUUUCCACCAUAAUUUCCUACCUUCAAAACAGAAAAAUUUAUCCUUGAAACUUGCUUAGCACUUUGGGAGCAAGAAGAAGAAGAGAAAUUAAAGUUGUGGGAGCUUGGGAAUUUCCAUAAGAGAGGUAUGUGCCAUGAAACCUUAAAAUUGUUAUUUGAAUCUUGCAAGUGAGUUGAUGGAAGUUGAAAUUUAAUCUAAAAGGAAAGGAAUCUAUGCUUAAGGAGGAAGUGGAAAUUUCGGUCCUUUAGAGAGGUUAAGGUUUUGAAGAAUUUGAUUAAAUUAAACUUGUAUAUUUAUGUUACUUAAAGCGUAUAUAUGAAUAGAAUUGAAAUUGAAUGAAUUUGCAUGAGAUUUGUAAUUUUAACAGAUUAGAGUUUAGCAAAAUUAGAGUUUUGCUCAUAAAAUGGUGUAUAAACAUUUUAAUGGUCAAUUAGUAGCCAUUUGGUUAGGUUUGAACAUCCUAUAAAGUGAAUUGAGGCAUUUGAUAAUGAACUGGUUAGGCUGCCUUGUGUAGUGAAUUCUGGACUCUUGGAGUCCAGUGUGUUUGGACAACACCAACUAGACUUGAGUAACUUCAAUUGGUGUAAGGCCAAUUGUAAGUGAAAAUUGACACAUAAUGUCACAUUUUUUGUGAAGAAACACUGCACAGAAAAUCAACAUAAGUUGCCUAAAAAUUGACUCAAUCUGGGUGACACACAAGCUGUCCCUGGAAAAUGACUAAAUGAACAGUGUUUGUUCAAAUGGUCAUAACUCAAUGUAGAAAUAUUCAAUUGAUCUGAAAUUUAUAUCAAUAAAAAGCUUAGACAAUUUCGAACAACUUUCAUGAAGAACACCA
This 1084-nucleotide unclassified non-coding RNA is filed under the name Hevea brasiliensis (rubber tree). Lineage: Eukaryota; Viridiplantae; Streptophyta; Magnoliopsida; Malpighiales; Euphorbiaceae. The record is from RNAcentral.